UACGAAGGGUGCAAACGUUGCUCGGAAUUAUUGGGCGUAAAGCGCACGUAGGCGGCCUGUUAAGUCGAACGCGAAAUCCCCGGGCUCAACCCGGGAACUGCGUCCGAUACUGGCAGGCUUGAAUCCGGGAGAGGGAUGCGGAAUUCCAGGUGUAGCGGUGAAAUGCGUAGAUAUCUGGAGGAACACCGGUGGCGAAGGCGGCAUCCUGGACCGGUAUUGACGCUGAGGCGCGAAAGCCAGGGGAGCAAACGGG
Molecule: ribosomal RNA, 253 nt
Filed under: uncultured bacterium
Lineage: Bacteria
Description: partial 16S ribosomal RNA
Rfam family: Bacterial small subunit ribosomal RNA
Source: RNAcentral